GGGCCUGCGUUCCAUUAGCUAGUUGGUAGGGUAACGGCCUACCAAGGCGACGACGGGUAGCUGGUCUGAGAGGACGACCAGCCACACGGGAAUUGAGAUACGGUCCCGACUCCUACGGGAGGCAGCAGUGGGGAAUCUUGGACAAUGGGGGAAACCCUGAUCCAGCGACGCCGCGUGGGUGAUGAAGGCCUUCGGGUCGUAAAGCCCUGUCGGGGGGGAAGAAACUCUUGUCGGUAAAUAAUCGGCGAGAUUGACGGUACCCCUUAAGGAAGCACCGGCUAACUCCGUGCCAGCAGCCGCGGUAUA
RNAcentral lists this ribosomal RNA (306 nucleotides) under uncultured delta proteobacterium. RNAcentral describes it as "bacterial SSU rRNA". It matches the Rfam family "Bacterial small subunit ribosomal RNA", at positions 227 to 524 of the family's 1533-position model. The record is from RNAcentral. Lineage: Bacteria; Deltaproteobacteria.